RNAcentral lists this unclassified non-coding RNA (240 nucleotides) under soil metagenome. RNAcentral's name for it is "partial contains 5.8S ribosomal RNA, internal transcribed spacer 2, and large subunit ribosomal RNA". The record is from RNAcentral.
AACAAGGCGUACCUGCGGACCUGCGGAAGGAUCAUUACAGAGUUGCAAAACUCCCUAAACCAUUGUGAACGUUACCUAAACCGUUGCUUCGGCGGGCGGCCCGGGUCCUUCCCGGCGCCCCUCGGCCCUCGCGGGCGCCCGCCGGAGGUAAACCAAACUAUUGCAUUGUAUGGCCUCUCUGAGUCUUCUGUACUGAAUAAGUCAAAACUUUUAACAACGGAUCUCAGAUCGGAAGAGCAC